CCCCCCCUCCUAGACGACGCUGGCGGCGUGCCUAAUACAUGCAAGUCGAACGAACUCUGGUAUUGAUUGGUGCUUGCAUCAUGAUUUACAUUUGAGUGAGUGGCGAACUGGUGAGUAACACGUGGGAAACCUGCCCAGAAGCGGGGGAUAACACCUGGAAACAGAUGCUAAUACCGCAUAACAACUUGGACCGCAUGGUCCGAGUUUGAAAGAUGGCUUCGGCUAUCACUUUUGGAUGGUCCCGCGGCGUAUUAGCUAGAUGGUGGGGUAACGGCUCACCAUGGCAAUGAUACGUAGCCGACCUGAGAGGGUAAUCGGCCACAUUGGGACUGAGACACGGCCCAAACUCCUACGGGAGGCAGCAGUAGGGAAUCUUCCACAAUGGACGAAAGUCUGAUGGAGCAACGCCGCGUGAGUGAAGAAGGGUUUCGGCUCGUAAAACUCUGUUGUUAAAGAAGAACAUAUCUGAGAGUAACUGUUCAGGUAUUGACGGUAUUUAACCAGAAAGCCACGGCUAACUACGUGCCAGCAGCCGCGGUAAUACGUAGGUGGCAAGCGUUGUCCGGAUUUAUUGGGCGUAAAGCGAGCGCAGGCGGUUUUUUAAGUCUGAUGUGAAAGCCUUCGGCUCAACCGAAGAAGUGCAUCGGAAACUGGGAAACUUGAGUGCAGAAGAGGACAGUGGAACUCCAUGUGUAGCGGUGAAAUGCGUAGAUAUAUGGAAGAACACCAGUGGCGAAGGCGGCUGUCUGGUCUGUAACUGACGCUGAGGCUCGAAAGUAUGGGUAGCAAACAGGAUUAGAUACCCUGGUAGUCCAUACCGUAAACGAUGAAUGCUAAGUGUUGGAGGGUUUCCGCCCUUCAGUGCUGCAGCUAACGCAUUAAGCAUUCCGCCUGGGGAGUACGGCCGCAAGGCUGAAACUCAAAGGAAUUGACGGGGGCCCGCACAAGCGGUGGAGCAUGUGGUUUAAUUCGAAGCUACGCGAAGAACCUUACCAGGUCUUGACAUACUAUGCAAAUCUAAGAGAUUAGACGUUCCCUUCGGGGACAUGGAUACAGGUGGUGCAUGGUUGUCGUCAGCUCGUGUCGUGAGAUGUUGGGUUAAGUCCCGCAACGAGCGCAACCCUUAUUAUCAGUUGCCAGCAUUAAGUUGGGCACUCUGGUGAGACUGCCGGUGACAAACCGGAGGAAGGUGGGGAUGACGUCAAAUCAUCAUGCCCCUUAUGACCUGGGCUACACACGUGCUACAAUGGAUGGUACAACGAGUUGCGAACUCGCGAGAGUAAGCUAAUCUCUUAAAGCCAUUCUCAGUUCGGAUUGUAGGCUGCAACUCGCCUACAUGAAGUCGGAAUCGCUAGUAAUCGCGGAUCAGCAUGCCGCGGUGAAUACGUUCCCGGGCCUUGUACACACCGCCCGUCACACCAUGAGAGUUUGUAACACCCAAAGUCGGUGGGGUAACCUUUUAGGAACCAGCCGCCUAAGGUGGGACAGAUGAUUAGGGUGAAGUCGACGGGGGACCCCCCCAAAAAAAAAG
This 1531-nucleotide ribosomal RNA is filed under the name Lactiplantibacillus plantarum. RNAcentral describes it as "bacterial SSU rRNA". It matches the Rfam family "Bacterial small subunit ribosomal RNA". Lineage: Bacteria; Bacillati; Bacillota; Bacilli; Lactobacillales; Lactobacillaceae. The record is from RNAcentral.